Molecule: long non-coding RNA, 2429 nt
Organism: Cyprinus carpio (common carp)
Lineage: Eukaryota; Metazoa; Chordata; Actinopteri; Cypriniformes; Cyprinidae
Source: Ensembl
UGGCUGGCUAAACCCUAUAGUGAGAUUUUGACGCAUUUUUGCGCACUCAUGAUGCCCAGAAAUGCUGUAUAUGUAGGCGACUCACUAGGUUUUCAGAAGGGCUUAUGUACUGUACAGUUCACCGUGAGUGGAACAGCUGUAACCUGAAAGAGAGAGAGAGAACACACACACACACACACACACACAAAAUCCCCGCGCGACAGACAAUUGAUGUUGAGUUUGUGUAGUGGAGGAACAGCUGUGUGAAACACCGCGGCAGUAUGGAGGCAGACGAUUAUGAAUGGCCAACCCAUUGAAUGCUAUGUGGAGGAGUUCCUUUUGUACAGACACCUUAUGCUUGGUGAUGAGGCUAUGGUAAAAGACUGUUUCUGGAGUGGAAUUGAUCCAAAUAUUUGUCUGAACUUACUAGAAGACUCCAGCUGUACCCUGGCACAGUUUAUUGAAUUUGUCCUGCAGUUUUGUGAAUUUCCCUUUACAGUAGGGGAGGUUGAAGAAGACCCUACCCCUAAACCUAUGCUCUCAAGCCCUUCUGUCCCAGUAGUAAUCCCCAUGUCUACAGCACUUCCUAUAUGGGGGGUGGCUCUAUGGUGUGUUUGGGCUGCACACACUACCGCUGAAACUUCAGAGCUGACGGCAGCCGCUGAAGGAUCUCCAGAGGUGGUGGUUGAGGCUGCAGAACCUCAAGAGGCAGCGGAGCUUGCUUCAGCUCCUUGCGUGGUGGUGGCGCCCAGUUAUGAAGUCUCUGUCUGUUCUGUUAUAGCCAAGGAGGCUGUUAAUGAACUUCUCCACCGUGGCCUCUCCAGCUCUGCUGGGCUCCCUUGUCCCUCCAUCUCUGCCUUGGUCGGUCGUCCACCUCCCUACACUUCAGGACUACACUCCUCCUGCUACGCCCCGUCUCUUCAUUCCCCUGGCUCUGUUGGACUCCUCACUCCCCUCAGCUCCACCUUGGUCCUCUGUCGCUCUGGCUCCAAUGCGGUCUUCCGGAUCCUCCAUGCGCUUUAGUCGCCUGAGCCGUCAGCUCUGCCAUGGCCCUCCAGAACCUCAGUGUCGCCUUGGCUCUGCGGCUCUCCGUCUUUGCCUUGGGCUCCUCUUCCAACUGCUCCGUCUACUCUGCUGUCGUGGUCUUCUGCUCCAUACUGUCUCCAAGUUCUGCCUCAGUCUCCAGGCCCUCCUCCCACACAUGGACCCAGAGCUGUCCUUAAGGGAGUGCAGCUGAUGCGGUCGCAACGGGCCCCGCUGCGAAUGGACCGAGGGGCACCUGUACCAACAAACCCCCCUCCAGUACACGAACGGAAUGGGGGGCCCCGCUCCCUACCUCGCACCGGGCCCAGCGUCAGCUAAGGACAGCUCUGCAUGGACCUGUCCCUCCAUCCCUCCCCCUGUUCCACCUCCCUCCUGGAUUUAAGUGUUUAUUUCGGAGUGUCUGGAGUCUGCUCCUAAGGAGGGGGCUCUCUCAUGAUCUUGCCCAUGGUCCCCUGUCUGGUGUUUGGAUUUUGUUACUUCCUGUGAAGAGUGCCAUUUGUAGUCAACUUGUAGUCCUAUUGUUUCAUUGGUUGUCUUGAUUCCUUUCCCAGGUGUGUCUUGUUACCGUGUUAUCCUGUUUCCGUCUGUGUAUAAAUAGCCUGUUGAAUGUCUGUGAUGGUUGCUCCCUGCCCUUGUCUGAGUUCCUUGUUUUACCCAAGUUGGAUUACAUGUUGUUUCCUGAAUUUUUAUUAAACUCCUGCACGUAGAUCCUCACCCCUGUUUGCCUCAUCUCAUCUCUGCAACUUUACAAUAUAACUGAGACAUUUUUAACCUUUUUUUUUAUAUAUAUAUUCCACACAAAAAAAGUUGCAUCAGUGUGAGUAAAUGAAGAAAAUCUCACUUUUGGAUGAACUAUCCCUUUAAGAUGAGAAACACAGACCAACUUGGGUGCAAAAUAUUAAAAUAUAACACAUAACACUAGUGGCUUCAGAAAACAAAUGGUUUUUGCAUGUGUUGAUAGUGGUAGAACCAGGGACGUGCACAGACAUUAUGAGGUGCAGAGGCUCAAGUGGAAAAAAGGGCACUUCUCAUAUUUAUUUAAAAAAAAAAGUCUAAACAAAAUGUUAAAUAUAUUAGGGGUGUGCGAUAUUGACAGAAAAUAGAUCAAUAUUUUCUGGGAUUUUAUCGAUAAUGGUAAUUAGAUGGUAUUUUGCCAAGUGUGUUGUGCUGGUAUCUUAAGGACUACCGUGGACAGCUGACUUCUAAUGUUUUUGAUAUUCUGCAUAUUCUGUGUGGUGGUAAUGUCACAGCAGUGAUAGAAAUUCAUCUUUUCCAAUAAGUUUAAAUUGAUUUUUACAUCUUAUUGGCACCUUUUUAAGCCAUAUUUUCUAAAAGUGUGCCUCAUUUUUUCAAAUUCUUAAAUUGACUCAGUGAAUUAGAAUAAUAAAUAAUUUGGGCUGUUACCA